This 433-nucleotide ribosomal RNA is filed under the name uncultured bacterium. Its description in RNAcentral is "partial 16S ribosomal RNA". It matches the Rfam family "Bacterial small subunit ribosomal RNA", at positions 29 to 507 of the family's 1533-position model. The record is from RNAcentral.
AACGAACGCUGGCGGCAUGCCUAACACAUGCAAGUCGAACGAUCCCUUCGGGGAUAGUGGCGCACGGGUGCGUAACGCGUGGGAACCUGCCCUUAGGUUCGGAAUAACUCAGAGAAAUGUGAGCUAAUACCGGAUAAUGUCUUCGGACCAAAGAUUUAUCGCCUUUGGAUGGGCCCGCGUUGGAUUAGCUUGUUGGUGGGGUAAAGGCCUACCAAGGCGACGAUCCAUAGCUGGUCUGAGAGGAUGAUCAGCCACACUGGGACUGAGACACGGCCCAGACUCCUACGGGAGGCAGCAGUGGGGAAUAUUGGACAAUGGGCGAAAGCAUGAUCCAGCAAUGCCGCGUGAGUGAUGAAGGCCUUAGGGUUGUAAAGCUCUUUUACCCGGGAUGAUAAUGACAGUACCGGGAGAAUAAGCCCCGGCUAACUCCGUG